RNAcentral lists this ribosomal RNA (253 nucleotides) under uncultured bacterium. RNAcentral's name for it is "partial 16S ribosomal RNA". It matches the Rfam family "Bacterial small subunit ribosomal RNA", at positions 524 to 776 of the family's 1533-position model. The record is from RNAcentral.
UACGUAGGGGGCAAGCGUUGUCCGGAUUCAUUGGGCGUAAAGAGCGUGUAGGCGGCCAGGUAGGUCCGCUGUGAAAACUCGAGGCUCAACCUCGAGAUGUCGGCGGAAACCAUCUGGCUAGAGUCCGGAAGAGGAGAGUGGAAUUCCCGGUGUAGCGGUGAAAUGCGCAGAUAUCAGGAAGAACACCUAUGGCGAAGGCAGCUCUCUGGGACGGUACUGACGCUGAGACGCGAAAGCGUGGGGAGCGAACAGG